Long non-coding RNA from Homarus americanus (American lobster), 3070 nucleotides. RefSeq lists it as uncharacterized. The transcript has 3 exons. Lineage: Eukaryota; Metazoa; Arthropoda; Malacostraca; Decapoda; Nephropidae. The record is from RefSeq and is a predicted model, not a curated record.
UGUGUAGGGGAUUCCGCUCCCCUCCAAGUAAACAAACCGAACUUAGACGUGAAGGUGAACUUGACCAUCCUAGCUCACUCCGGGCUUUGCUUACUACCAUGGUACUUGUGAAACUCUUAGAUCAUGAAUUCGUGGUCAUGGAAAGACACCAAGUUGAGUCGUAAUGUGUGUUAAGAAAUUGUUUUUUGUACUGCAUUGGAGCGACAUUAGUUGUAGCCAAGGCGACGGAGUGACCACAGUGAGGACAACAGGCUAGCAUGGCGGGUCAUGACACACCUAGUCCCACACACCACUCAUAAAGAUGUGAGAAACAAACUUACUUAGUGAGGCCCAACUCAGUGAGGUGGUGCUCAGUGGGUCUUUGGCCUCGGAAGCCUUAAUCAACGAAGAAGUAUUCAAGGCUACCCUAAUCAACGAGGUCAUACACCAAGGCUCUCUUCAUCGACUAACUUCUCAACAGUCUUUUUCUACUCGUUCAGGAGUAACUUAGCAAUGCUCUAUUCAGCUCGUCCUGCUAGUAUCAAUCAAGUUUAAUUGUGGUUAAGCCUCAUUGAGAGAGGUGUUGCCUCAAAACUUAUGUACUCUGCCAUUCAUUGAGUAUUAAUACGCUAUUUUCUCGUUAGCUCCGGUGACGAGACUUUCAUGCAGAACCUUGUGACUCCCGCCUGGCUUCUCAGUAAGAUAGUCAUGGCUGGCGGGUACACCGUAGGGGAGUUUUUCUCAGUGACAGUGCAGCCAGGUACCAGUGACGCUCCCAAUGGUUCGUGGUUAAAGAAAAAUGUGACUGGAAAGUCCUGGAACAACGAGGCAGCCGGUGGGUCACGUCUGAGCGAGUAUCAGUACGUCAUUGGUCUAACUUUACUUCUGAUGAUGAUCCUCCUGGGUGUGGUGGUGUCGGUGCUCAUGUGCCUCACCAUUCGCCGGAACCCUAUGCUGUGGUCUGGCGUGUUCGGGGGACUUAUGCUCAAGACCAACAUCAACGGUAAUAACGGAGCCAAGUUCCCCAGGAGGGUGCGGUUUAACGUCCCUGACAACCAUGACGUGGAAUCCACUGGUUCUGCCAUGACGGUCAUGAUUUCUGUUGCCGGAGAAAGUGAGGAUGCCAUUGACCAGACCACUUAAGCUUACUAGUGUUACCUCUGACUGCUACAACAACGUUAUCCUGUGUUAGGUUGACUAAGAACACCGCGAGUGUUUAACUGAAGCAUCGACUGGUGUAGACAAGACAGUGAUAUAAGAGGAAUGUGAAACAUAAUUUUAUCUCAUCAAUAAUGUAAUUCAGGAGCGCAUUGUAACAAAAACUUUUAUCAUUAAUACGUAAAAUAAAUGAUGAUAACAGUACAAAUAAUUACCUCAGGAUAGUCGGAAGUCUUUAUAGGGAUAUAAUCCUGUGACCGUACACAGUUACCGGUAGUACAUGUAAGAUUAAAGUAAUGAAACGUCCGACGAGUUACAGAAUGACAUGACAAGUAAACUGUUCCGUUGUGUGUCCGUGAAGGUGUUGAGCUGAUCAACUCCAGGGUACAGAUUCUGUAAGAAAAUACGUCGGUCGUAAUAUUUUUUCUAUGCUUAAAUGAAGAGAAAGAGCACACUUAGUAACAAUUCUAUCUUAGUCAAUGUUUCCUCGACAUUGCUCUGGCCACCAUAUUGUGUAGCAGCCCAGCUGAGCAGAUUAGAGGUGUUCAUAAAUCCUUCAUUACGGGAAAAAUUAAUUGAAAGUUUUGUAAAUCAGAGUGUGUGGUACUGUCUCUCAGCAACCUGAACCAAGUCAAAUAGUGGGUAAAAUAUAUAUUUCUGUCUAUAAAAGAAAAGUAAACUAUUAAUUUGUGUAGAGUUGCCUCAAAGAAUUCCUUUACCCCUGUGGUGCCGUUUGCGUACAUGUGACACCGUCGCAAUACUGGAGUAAACGAGGAUUUCUCGAAGUUAAAGGAGGAAUGGAAAGUCUAAAAUAAAAAUGGAAAAUGAGAUGCAAAAACAACGCAUGAAUCAACCUCCACAGUUUAUGAUUACAAAAGGUUACAAUACUUUGAACCAUUGUGUGAUUUAUACUAAGGGCAUGUGUAGCGCCACCAGUGUCCAUGUGUGAAGAAGCGUCCUGGUGUAUGAUAAUUAUCAUUAAUAACACAAAUUUCCUCAUGUAGCUUUUAUUUGUAAAUCUUUAUCACUUAUACUGGUACUCUUCCUUGUAAGAAACAUCUAUGUGUAUAUUAUUAUAUCGAGUUUAUAUUGCAUUUAUAUAUCUAUUUAUUAUUAUUGCCAAGCGAAAUUACGUCAAGGUAUCUUUUCCACCAUUCAUUUCCAUUGUUAGAAGGCGACGACUACGGAUUAUCUCAUACGUUCACUCUACAGUAGUAUUGCGAUGGUGCCACAUUUACGAAAACGUCACCACAAGGGGUAAAGGAACUCUUUGAGGCAACUGUACAUACAUUCAAUAUAUAACAUUACAUUAUGUGCAAAUAGUGGUGCUUUAUAUCCUCUUGUACAGUGGUGCUUUACAUCCACCUCUUCUAUCACGUGUUCAAAGUCUUUAGGAGAAAAGUAUUGACUAACUCCGAGUAUUAGUUUGGGAUUACUAGGAGAUAAUCAUUAGACAAUAAGAAAUUUGGCAUUCAGCUUCAGGUAUGUGUGUGUGUACGGGUGGUGGUGAGGGAGGUACUGUCCCCAGACGCGUAUUUAACACUGCUAGGUGUAAUUUUCUUAAGGGUCCCCUCUGUACAGUAGGCUAGUUGAUGCUCUAAUUCUGUGCAUAAUUAAUAAAUGUUUCAGUCUGUAUACAACAGCUUCAGUUUUCCUUGUACUAAACAUAAGGUAAAAGUACAACACAGAUCCUCACAUCUCAGGAUUUUUUGCACUACUCUGAGGCCCACAAUUGUACCUACCUUAAACUCGCUUCUGGUUCUAUGUGUUCUUCAUACUGAAACAUUUGAUGUUUUAGCAGUUUCUGUUUUACUUAUUUUUACCUACUUACCUUUUUAAAUUAAUUAGUAGGAAGUUUCAUUAUGUUAUGGUAAUAAACAUUUUAAAUGAAACAGGAAUUUCUUGUAACAUAUUUGAGCUAAUUUCUAUUAUA